GAGAUAUUUUGCAGAAAAAGGAAGAGAUGUCUUCAGCUCAAAUGCUAUCAAACUUGUGAAAUAAACAGCCUUGUUGCUCACACAAAGCCUGUUUGGUAGCCUCUUCACAUGGACACACGUGACAUUUGGUGCUGAAGACCUGGGACAGGAGGACUCCAGGAGACUGGUCCCCUGUCCUUGCCCUCACUCCAUGAGGAGAUCCACCUACGACCUCGGGUCCUCAGACCAACCAGCCCAAGGAACAUCUCAUGAAUUUCAAAUUGGGACCCCACUGGAAAUCGGACUGUUCAACCCAGCAGCCACUCCCAGGGCCCCUAGAACUCUGGCCCAAGGCUCUCUGACUGACUCCUUCCCAGAUCGUCUCAGCUUAGCAGCUGAAGACUGAUGCCGUCUGAUCGCCUUGGAAGCCCCCUGGACCAUUACGGAUGCCGAGCUUUGGAUAACUCUUACAGUGGAGGAUUCCCAGCCAUAUGAAAACACCCUAGCUGGACGAUCAGUUCUUAUUAUGAAUCUGACCUCUCAAACUCUACAACCUCGAUGGACUGGACCCUACUUAG
This 557-nucleotide small RNA is filed under the name Pongo abelii (Sumatran orangutan). RNAcentral's name for it is "processed transcript". Lineage: Eukaryota; Metazoa; Chordata; Mammalia; Primates; Hominidae. The record is from RNAcentral.